RNAcentral lists this ribosomal RNA (253 nucleotides) under uncultured bacterium. Its description in RNAcentral is "partial 16S ribosomal RNA". It matches the Rfam family "Bacterial small subunit ribosomal RNA", at positions 524 to 776 of the family's 1533-position model. The record is from RNAcentral.
UACGGAGGGUGCAAGCGUUAUCCGGAUUUACUGGGCUUAAAGGGUGCGUAGGUGGGCGAGAAAGUCAGUGGUGAAAUCUCCGGGCUUAACCCUGAAACUGCCAUUGAUACUAUUUGUCUUGAAUACUUUGGAGGUAAGCGGAAUAUGUCAUGUAGCGGUGAAAUGCUUAGAUAUGACAUAGAACACCAAUUGCGAAGGCAGCUUACUACACAGUAAUUGACACUGAGGCACGAAAGCGUGGGGAGCAAACAGG